RNAcentral lists this ribosomal RNA (468 nucleotides) under uncultured bacterium. RNAcentral's name for it is "partial 16S ribosomal RNA". It matches the Rfam family "Bacterial small subunit ribosomal RNA", at positions 29 to 523 of the family's 1533-position model. The record is from RNAcentral.
AACGAACGCUGGCGGCAGGCCUAACACAUGCAAGUCGAGCGAUUCUCUUCGGAGAAGAGCGGCGGACGGGUGAGUAACGCGUGGGUAACCUGCCCUGUACACACGGAUAACAUACCGAAAGGUAUGCUAAUACGAGAUAAUAUGCUUUUAUCGCAUGGUAGAAGUAUCAAAGCUUUUGCGGUACAGGAUGGACCCGCGUCUGAUUAGCUAGUUGGUAAGGUAACGGCUUACCAAGGCGACGAUCAGUAGCCGACCUGAGAGGGUGAUCGGCCACAUUGGAACUGAGACACGGUCCAAACUCCUACGGGAGGCAGCAGUGGGGAAUAUUGCACAAUGGGCGAAAGCCUGAUGCAGCAACGCCGCGUGAGCGAUGAAGGCCUUCGGGUCGUAAAGCUCUGUCCUCAAGGAAGAUAAUGACGGUACUUGAGGAGGAAGCCCCGGCUAACUACGUGCCAGCAGCCGCAGUAA